AUUCCAGCUCCAAUAGCGUAUAUUAAAGUUGUUGCAGUUAAAAAGCUCGUAGUUGAAUUUUGGGUUCGGUUGACUGGUCUGCCUUUGGUUUGAACUGGUCGACUGAACCUUUCCUUCUGGCGAACUCUUGUGCUAUUAAUUUAGUGCGAUUGGGAACCAGGACUUUUACUUUGAAAAAAUUAGAGUGUUUAAAGCAGGCUCACGCUUGAAUACAUUAGCAUGGAAUAAUAAAAUAGGACUUUGGUUUUAUUUUGUUGGUUUCUAAGACCGAAGUAAUGAUUAAUAGGGAUAGUUGGGGGCAUUAGUAUUUAGUCGUCAGAGGUGAAAUUCUUGGAUUGACUAAAGACUAACUUCUGCGAAAGCAUUUGCCAAGGAUGUUUUCAUUA
RNAcentral lists this ribosomal RNA (386 nucleotides) under Rhizophydiales sp. RNAcentral describes it as "partial small subunit ribosomal RNA". It matches the Rfam family "Eukaryotic small subunit ribosomal RNA", at positions 582 to 975 of the family's 1831-position model. The record is from RNAcentral. Lineage: Eukaryota; Fungi; Chytridiomycota; Chytridiomycetes; Rhizophydiales.